GCGACCCCAGGAUGGGCGAGGCCACCCGCCGAGUUUAAGCAUAUAAAUAAGCGGAGG
Molecule: ribosomal RNA, 57 nt
Filed under: Ionopsis satyrioides
Lineage: Eukaryota; Viridiplantae; Streptophyta; Magnoliopsida; Asparagales; Orchidaceae
Description: partial 26S ribosomal RNA
Source: RNAcentral